Molecule: long non-coding RNA, 1449 nt
Organism: Triticum dicoccoides
Lineage: Eukaryota; Viridiplantae; Streptophyta; Magnoliopsida; Poales; Poaceae
Exons: 3
Source: RefSeq, a predicted model, not a curated record
CGCAUGGCGCGGCGGCGGCCUUAUCCCCCGACGGCGGGUACACGUCGGACACGCACGACGAGGGCCGACCACAAGAAGAAGGAGAUGGUGGACGAUUCGCCGCCACCUACCCAGGUCCCAAUUCAGUUGGUCGCCACAACUCCCCGAGCGACCGCAUCAGCGAGUGGGUUAGUAGCAUUGACGGCGAGAGCCUCUGCAUCACCGAGGACGAGGACGUCGCUGUCGACGACCAGCGCAAGGACCUCACCGACUACCUGCCCGCCCAAGCUCCAUCGAGGCCGGGGAGGCGUCAGGUAAUAAGGGCCAGGGAGUACAGAAAAGGGCGAGCGGCCAUGUCGGUCAUGCCAAGAAGCGAGAGGCCAUGCAGGAGGCCAGGAAGGCCACAAGUGAGACAUCCAGGUUGACUUCGCCAUGCGGGUCGCGCUGCAUAUUCGUCCCAUUGCCGGCAAAUCAUUCGUCAGCUGGGAAGGUCAGCAAGCAGGUUCAACAGCUCGAUGGUCAAUGCCAAUCAUUGGGAUUCCAUGGAUGCCAUACAAUACAUGUACAUAUUUGAUCAUAUCUCCUGGAACUGAUCAACCUCCGUAGAAGCCAACAAUGUGGAGCAGUGCCCCUGUAGCCAGUACGGUAAUUAGCCAAAUACACUCGAAUAUAAAUCCUAAAACACAUGGUAAAAUACUUAGCAAACAAAGUUAUUUAUUUUUCCGGUAAACUACUACAGUAUCAUUUUCCAAUUUCAGGUAUGCAUAUUGUAUUAUUGCAUGAAAUCAGUGAGAAGCGAUCUCACACCAAAUAUGAUUAAAUUUCACAAAUAAUCCCAAAUAUGAUUAAAUUUGACAAUUUGUGCUUACCCCUUUGUUGGGGCUUGUAGGAUUAUUGUGAUAGACUAAAUGUAGAAUUCUCUUGCGGGUGAAAAUAUGUGUUGUACAAAUGUUAUCAAGUAUUUGUAGUGCCUAUUUUUAUCGUUUGAAAUAUAUUAUUUUUUCCAUGAUAUUUCUAUUUUUGAGAUUUUGUGACAGGGGCCUUUGCGAGAGAACUUUUUCUAGGAACCAAAAGUCGUCACGAUCAAUCACAACAUGUAUCCAACUAUCCAUCAACCAGCCUAGAGACUCGUGCACUUGAGACCCAAACAUGAACCAGCUACAAGUCCAUCAGACCUAAGAAAAAAGAUCAACACACUGCUUUCUUGCAAUCCAAUAGGAUUCCUCUCUUCAAUUACAUACCAUGAUAUGUAAAAUGAAGGAAACAAGCACAAGAGGCAAGAAAGCACAACACCACUCCAAAUAAUUGUACACAAUUAUAUACUACAUAUUACUUCUAUCCCUGAAAAUUAUAGAGCCAAAUUAGACGGGCGCCGCAACACGCGCCAUCAAUGAUCUAGUUGUUCAUCAAACCCACUAGGGUAUAAUGGAGACGCCAGUGCAUGUUUUUUUCCCACGGUUUCACUAGUAG